GACGAACGCUGGCGGCGUGCUUAACACAUGCAAGUCGAACGGGAUUUAGUAAACAGAAGCCUCGGUGGAAGAUUACUAAUGAGAGUGGCGAACGGGUGAGUAACGCGUGAGCAACCUGCCUAUGACAGUGGGAUAGCCUCGGGCAACCGGGAUUAAUACCGCAUAAAAUCGUAGAAACACAUGUUUUAACGGUCAAAGAUUUAUCGGUCAUAGAUGGGCUCGCGUCUGAUUAGCUAGUUGGUGAGCUAACAGACCACCAAGGCGACGAUCAGUAGCCGGUCUGAGAGGAUGAACCGCCACAUUGGAACUGAGACACGGUCCAAAAUCAUACGGGAGGGAGGAGGGGGGAAUAUUGCACAAUGGGGGAAACCCUGAUGCAGCGACGCCGGGUGAACGAAGAAGGUAUUCGUAUCGUAAAGUUCUGUACUAUGGGAAGAUAAUGACAGUACCAUAGAAGAAAGCUCCGGCUAAAUACGUG
RNAcentral lists this ribosomal RNA (478 nucleotides) under uncultured bacterium. RNAcentral's name for it is "partial 16S ribosomal RNA". It matches the Rfam family "Bacterial small subunit ribosomal RNA", at positions 28 to 507 of the family's 1533-position model. The record is from RNAcentral.